CGCUAUCACUCCUACGGGAGCAGCAGUGGGAAUUUGGACAAUGGGGGCAACCCUGAUCCAGCCAUGCCGCGUGAGUGAAGAAGGCCUUCGGGUUGUAAAGCUCUUUCGGCGGGGAAGAAAUGGCAACGGCUAAUAUCCGUUGUUGAUGACGGUACCCGCAUAAGAAGCACCGGCUAACUACGUGCCAGCAGCCGCGGUAAUACGUAGGGUGCGAGCGUUAAUCGGAAUUACUGGGCGUAAAGCGUGCGCAGGCGGUUUCGUAAGACAGACGUGAAAUCCCCGGGCUCAACCUGGGAACUGCGUUUGUGACUGCGAGGCUAGAGUACGGCAGAGGGGGGUAGGAAUUCCACGUGUAGCAGUGAAAAUGCGUAGAGAUGUGGAGGAAUACCGAUGGCGAAGGCAGCCCCCUGGGUUAGUACUGACGCUCAUGCACGAAAGCGUGGGGAGCAAACAGGAUUAGAUACCCUGGUAG
RNAcentral lists this ribosomal RNA (472 nucleotides) under uncultured bacterium. Its description in RNAcentral is "bacterial SSU rRNA". It matches the Rfam family "Bacterial small subunit ribosomal RNA", at positions 328 to 793 of the family's 1533-position model. The record is from RNAcentral.